GCACUGGUGGUUCAGUGGUAGAAUUUUCACCUUCCGUGCAGGAGACCCGGGUUGGAUUCCCAGCCAGUGCA
This 71-nucleotide transfer RNA is filed under the name Loxodonta africana (African savanna elephant). It matches the Rfam family "tRNA". From Rfam's summary of the family: Transfer RNA (tRNA) molecules are approximately 80 nucleotides in length. Their secondary structure includes four short double-helical elements and three loops (D, anti-codon, and T loops). Further hydrogen bonds mediate the characteristic L-shaped molecular structure. tRNAs have two regions of fundamental functional importance: the anti-codon, which is responsible for specific mRNA codon recognition, and the 3' end, to which the tRNAs corresponding amino acid is attached (by aminoacyl-tRNA synthetases). tRNAs cope with the degeneracy of the genetic code in two manners: having more than one tRNA (with a specific anti-codon) for a particular amino acid; and 'wobble' base-pairing, i.e. permitting non-standard base-pairing at the 3rd anti-codon position. The record is from Rfam by way of RNAcentral. Lineage: Eukaryota; Metazoa; Chordata; Mammalia; Proboscidea; Elephantidae.